AUCUAUGGCCAUGCCACCCUCGACACUCCUGAUCUCGUCUGAUCUCAGAAGCUAGGGUCGGGCCUGAGUAGUACUUGGAUGGGAGACCACGUAGGAAUAUCGGGUGUUGUAGGCU
Molecule: ribosomal RNA, 115 nt
Filed under: Pteropus alecto (black flying fox)
Lineage: Eukaryota; Metazoa; Chordata; Mammalia; Chiroptera; Pteropodidae
Source: RNAcentral